AGGAGGAACAACCGCAGUGGCGGGGCCAGCUCUGGAGCCCUGGAGUCAGCUCCCGCAGUAACUACUGAGCUCCCCGUCUGCAGGGCCUGGAGGCUCCGGGGCAGG
This 105-nucleotide microRNA precursor is filed under the name Canis lupus familiaris (dog). Its description in RNAcentral is "mir-8834 microRNA precursor family". It matches the Rfam family "mir-8834 microRNA precursor family". The record is from Rfam by way of RNAcentral. Lineage: Eukaryota; Metazoa; Chordata; Mammalia; Carnivora; Canidae.